This is an RNA transcript of Zingiber officinale, 1160 nucleotides long. Lineage: Eukaryota; Viridiplantae; Streptophyta; Magnoliopsida; Zingiberales; Zingiberaceae. The record is from RefSeq and is a predicted model, not a curated record.
CCCAGGUUGAUCUGUCACUGCGAGGGCGAGGAAAACGUACUAAGAAAUUCACCGGCGAACCGGUUAUUAUCGGGUCGGAUCAUGUUUGCUGUGCAAAAGACUCGGUAGAAGCAUCAUCGCAAGGACUGGGAAUCAAGUUAGGGUUUGGGCCACGCAGCUCGAGGUUUUUCGCUCUGGUGCAGGCGAUCGCUAUUUUCAUAACGUAUCUGAUAGCUCCCUUACGUUAUUUGGACGUCUGAUCUUCGAAUAUGCUUCCCUUAUCGCUUCUGAAGACCGCUCAAGGUCAUCCCAUGUUGGUGGAGUUGAAGAACGGGGAAACAUAUAAUGGGCACUUGGUGAACUGCGAUACCUGGAUGAAUAUCCACCUUCGUGAGGUUAUUUGUACGUCAAAGGAUGGUGACCGAUUUUGGAGGAUGCCUGAGUGUUACAUUCGUGGGAAUACCAUCAAGUACCUUCGAGUUCCAGAUGAGGUGAUCGACAAGGUUCAAGAAGAGACCACCAAAAGUCGUACAGAGAUGGCCUAUAUUGGGAAGCCCAUGAAGGUGACCGCAAACGCCCGCAAUAGUUGCAAUGUGGCAUUGGCGUCACCAUUUCCUGGAAGAAUGCUGAAAAUCUUGGAAGAAUGUUUUUUAAAAAAGGCGGAUAGUGAAGGAUUUUGUAUCAGCUCUUGCCACUAUCGUCGUCUUGCGCUCUGCUACCUCGAUUCCAGCUGCUACACCUUGUUAUGCAUGUGCAUCCGUGCAUAAGUCAGCUGUGACUUUGAUUUUUUUUUUUUUGUUUGUUUUCCUGCAGAUAGGAAGCCUCCUGGAGUUGGUCGUGGAAGGGGACGAGGAGGCAAGGAAGAUGGCAUUGGGCGAUCUGCCAAAGGGAUCGGUCGCAGCCAAGAUGAUACAAGCGGCAAAGGUGGUGGUCGCGGCAGGGGUGGAGUCGGCGGUAAAACUGGUGGUUCCAGAGGUGCAGGGCGCAGCCAUGGCUGAUACUCUGAAGCUGAAGGCGACCUCCUGUCUAAAUUGUUUCAAGAUUUCUUAAAUCCGAAGACUAUUUGGUGGAUGUUAACUGUCAGCUAUGUGAAUCAUCUACUUGAUGGAAUGCCUUUUCACCAUUGAAUUGAACGUUUUCAUAGUGCAAUAAAAAAAUCUGGUGCGAUGGGUCCAAUAGCU